GGGCAUCUUCUUUCUCCUUCAUUUUUGUUUCUUUAUAUUCUACAUAUAAUUGUCUGGCAUCCUGGAAUAGCUGAGGCAAAGCUUUCACAGUGAGACAGAACCAUAUUCCCAGCUUGCAUGGAAGUAAGUCAUGCCACUGUGGUUUGUCCAGUGCUCUUUCAUUUUUUUCAGGAGCAGCAAGUUUUGCUUCAUCCGUACUUCUGCCUCCCGUUUUUUUCUUCUUCUCC
RNAcentral lists this long non-coding RNA (227 nucleotides) under Gallus gallus (chicken). Lineage: Eukaryota; Metazoa; Chordata; Aves; Galliformes; Phasianidae. The record is from RNAcentral.